Molecule: ribosomal RNA, 763 nt
Filed under: uncultured bacterium
Lineage: Bacteria
Description: bacterial SSU rRNA
Rfam family: Bacterial small subunit ribosomal RNA
Source: RNAcentral
AAGGGUUUAUGGCCCCAUGGAUUUACCGCCCAANGCUUUGGUACCCGAAGCUUCGGAUUCCCACUUAGUAACCGGCCCGCCCAGUUGUGCUUGGAAUUUCGCCCUUUCGCGGCCNUAUCAAGCUUUGUUUGGUGAGGUAAUGGCCCCACCAAAGACGACGACGGGGUAGCCGGCCUGAGAGGGGCGCCCGGCCACACUUGGGACUGAGACACGGCCCAGAUUCUUACGGGAGGCAGCAGUGGGGAAUAUUGCACAAUGGGGGAAACCCUGAUGCAGCGACGCAGCGUGCGGGAUGACGGCCUUCGGGUUGUAAACCGCUUUCAGCAGGGAAGAAGCCCCUCGGGGUGACGGUACCUGCAGAAGAAGUACCGGCUAACUACGUGCCAGCAGCCGCGGUAAUACGUAGGGUACAAGCGUUGUCCGGAAUUAUUGGGCGUAAAGAGCUCGUAGGUGGUUGGUCACGUCUGCUGUGAAAACGCAACGCUUAACGUUGCGCGUGCAGUGGGUACGGGCUGACUAGAGUGCAGUAGGGGAGUCUGGAAUUCCUGGUGUAGCGGUGAAAUGCGCAGAUAUCAGGAGGAACACCGGUGGCGAAGGCGGGACUCUGGGCUGUAACUGACACUGAGGAGCGAAAGCAUGGGGAGCGAACAGGAUUAGAUACCCUGGUAGUCCAUGCCGUAAACGUUGGGCACUAGGUGUGGGGGACAUUCCACGUUCUCCGCGCCGUAGCUAACGCAUUAAGUGCCCCGCCUGGGGAGUACGG